RNAcentral lists this ribosomal RNA (253 nucleotides) under uncultured bacterium. RNAcentral's name for it is "partial 16S ribosomal RNA". It matches the Rfam family "Bacterial small subunit ribosomal RNA", at positions 524 to 776 of the family's 1533-position model. The record is from RNAcentral.
UACGUAGGGUGCAAGCGUUAAUCGGAAUUACUGGGCGUAAAGCGUGCGCAGGCGGUUCGCUAAGACAGAUGUGAAAUCCCCGGGCUCAACCCGGGAACUGCGUCCGAUACUGGAAGGCUUGAAUCCGGGAGAGGGAUGUGGAAUUCCAGGUGUAGCGGUGAAAUGCGUAGAUAUCUGGAGGAACACCGGUGGCGAAGGCGACAUCCUGGACCGGUAUUGACGCUGAGGCGCGAAAGCCAGGGGAGCAAACGGG